Molecule: small nuclear RNA, 109 nt
Organism: Peromyscus californicus insignis
Lineage: Eukaryota; Metazoa; Chordata; Mammalia; Rodentia; Cricetidae
Source: RefSeq, a predicted model, not a curated record
GAUUAUUUACUUCAGUUGGCCAUAUACUAAAGUUGGAAUGUUACGGAGAAGAUUAGAAUGAGCUCUGUGGAAAGAUAACAUGCAAAUGUAUCAAGUUCUAUGGUUUUUU